RNAcentral lists this ribosomal RNA (1434 nucleotides) under uncultured organism. RNAcentral's name for it is "SSU rRNA". It matches the Rfam family "Bacterial small subunit ribosomal RNA". The record is from RNAcentral.
ACGCUAGCUACAGGCUUAACACAUGCAAGUCGAGGGGCAUCAGGAAGAAAGCUUGCUUUCUUUGCUGGCGACCGGCGCACGGGUGAGUAACACGUAUCCAACCUGCCCUUUACUCGGGGAUAGCCUUUCGAAAGAAAGAUUAAUACCCGAUGGCAUAAUGAUUCCGCAUGGUUUCAUUAUUAAAGGAUUCCGGUAAAGGAUGGGGAUGCGUUCCAUUAGGUUGUUGGUGAGGUAACGGCUCACCAAGCCUUCGAUGGAUAGGGGUUCUGAGAGGAAGGUCCCCCACAUUGGAACUGAGACACGGUCCAAACUCCUACGGGAGGCAGCAGUGAGGAAUAUUGGUCAAUGGGCGCUAGCCUGAACCAGCCAAGUAGCGUGAAGGAUGAAGGCUCUAUGGGUCGUAAACUUCUUUUAUAUAAGAAUAAAGUGCAGUAUGUAUACUGUUUUGUAUGUAUUAUAUGAAUAAGGAUCGGCUAACUCCGUGCCAGCAGCCGCGGUAAUACGGAGGAUCCGAGCGUUAUCCGGAUUUAUUGGGUUUAAAGGGAGCGUAGGUGGACUGGUAAGUCAGUUGUGAAAGUUUGCGGCUCAACCGUAAAAUUGCAGUUGAUACUGUCAGUCUUGAGUACAGUAGAGGUGGGCGGAAUUCGUGGUGUAGCGGUGAAAUGCUUAGAUAUCACGAAGAACUCCGAUUGCGAAGGCAGCUCACUGGACUGCAACUGACACUGAUGCUCGAAAGUGUGGGUAUCAAACAGGAUUAGAUACCCUGGUAGUCCACACAGUAAACGAUGAAUACUCGCUGUUUGCGAUAUACAGUAAGCGGCCAAGCGAAAGCAUUAAGUAUUCCACCUGGGGAGUACGCCGGCAACGGUGAAACUCAAAGGAAUUGACGGGGGCCCGCACAAGCGGAGGAACAUGUGGUUUAAUUCGAUGAUACGCGAGGAACCUUACCCGGGCUUAAAUUGCAGUGGAAUGAUGUGGAAACAUGUCAGUGAGCAAUCACCGCUGUGAAGGUGCUGCAUGGUUGUCGUCAGCUCGCGCCGUGAGGUGUCGGCUUAAGUGCCAUAACGAGCGCAACCCUUAUCUUUAGUUACUAACAGGUCAUGCUGAGGACUCUAGAGAGACUGCCGUCGUAAGAUGUGAGGAAGGUGGGGAUGACGUCAAAUCAGCACGGCCCUUACGUCCGGGGCUACACACGUGUUACAAUGGGGGGUACAGAAGGCAGCUAGCGGGUGACCGUAUGCUAAUCCCAAAAUCCUCUAUCAGUUCGGAUCGAAGUCUGCAACCCGACUUCGUGAAGCUGGAUUCGAUAGUAAUCGCGCAUCAGCCACGGCGCGGUGAAUACGUUUCCGGGCCUUGUACACACCGCCCGUCAAGCCAUGGGAGCCGGGGGUACAUGAAGUACGUAACCGCAAGGAUCGUCCUAGGGUAAAACUG